RNAcentral lists this ribosomal RNA (465 nucleotides) under uncultured bacterium. RNAcentral describes it as "partial 16S ribosomal RNA". It matches the Rfam family "Bacterial small subunit ribosomal RNA", at positions 338 to 795 of the family's 1533-position model. The record is from RNAcentral.
CCUACGGGAGGCAGCAGUGGGGAAUUUUGCGCAAUGCUCGUAAGAGUGACGCAGCGACGCCGCGUGAAUGACGAAGGCCUUCGGGUCGUAAAGUUCUUUCGACAGGGAAGAAAAUGCCUAUAAGUAACUGUGUAUGUAUUGACGGUACCUGUAUAAGCAGCCCCGGCUAACUCCGUGCCAGCAGCCGUGGUAAUACGGAGGGGGCGAGCGUUGUUCGGAGGGACUGGGUGUAAAGAGCACGUAGGCGGUGUUGUAAGUCAUUAGUCAAAGACUAGAGCUCAACUUUAGUAAGGCUAGUGAUACUAUAAUACUAGAGUAUCAGAGAGGAUUGCAGAAUUCCUGGUGUAGCGGUGAAAUGCGUAGAUAUCAGGAGGAAUACCGUUAGCGAAGGCGGCAAUCUGGCUGGAAACUGACGCUGAGGUGCGAAAGCGUGGGUAGCAAACAGGAUUAGAUACCCUUGUAGUC